UUGAUACAAAUAACUUUAACAUUACCCAGACAUAAAUACACUCGUGAUAACCAAUAACGGUUGGAUGUUAAACAACAAGUGCAAUCACAAUAAUUAAAUACAUGGAUCAAACAUGGAGAUAUUUCAAAAUGGAAGGAUGAACUGAAGACAAUUUGUUGAAGCUGUUUUUAGUGAUUAGUUUAGACACAAAAAGCCUCAAAUAUUUAUUGAGAUGGACAAGAAAAAGGGAUCCUCAUCAUACUAUAACGUGCAACAGAAAGAUGACAUCAGUGAUGAUGCAAAUCCGUUCAACGAUGACCCAGAUCGUGUACAUAGAUACAGUAUUAGAAAAGCAUCCAGAGCAGAAAAUACAUCGAUCGCCAUAUCGACCCUUCCGAUAUCAACCUUUGUUCCCGAUUAUAUGAAUCUCGCAAUAUUCGCCACUAUAUGUUGUUGCUUGCCAAUGGGCAUUUUCGCUAUAAGGAGAAAUAAGGAGGCACGACGUCUAAAAGAAAGUGGAGAUAUUCUUGGUGCCCAGAAAAAAGCUGCCUCGGCGAAACGAUUGAGUAUCUGGGGAAUGGUUUUAGGAUUUAUAUUUCUGGGUGUCGUGAUUGGCGUGGGUGUUGGUAUUUAUCUUGAUCAUAAACAUAUUCCACAUCACUACUAUGGUCGGUAACCAUAACAAUAUUCCACAUCACUACUAUGGUCGGUAACCAUAGCAAUAUUCCAUAUCACCGAUUACUUUUAUUCCACAUCAUAGUUAUUGUUGAUAAUGAUGGCAAUAUAUAGUUGGUAACCAUAGCAAUAUUCCACAACAUUAUUAUGGUUAAUGAUUAUAGGGUUGAUUUGAUAUUGAUUGUUAUAUUCCACAUCAUUACUAAUGUUGAUAAUUAUAGUAAUAUUCCACAUCAUCAUUAGGGUCAAUAAUUAUAGCAAUAUUCCACAUCGUUAUUAGGGUCGAUAUUUAUAGCAAUAUUCCACAUCGUUAUUAGGGUUGAUAAUUAUAGCAAUAUUCCACAUCAUCAUUAGGGUCAAUAAUUAUAGCAAUAUUUCACCUCGUCAUUAGGGUCGAUAAAUAUUCCACAUCAUUAUUAAGGUCGAUAAUUAUAGCAAUAUUCCACAUCAUUAUUUGGGUCGAUAAAUAUACCAAUAUGGUUUAAAAGUCCAUAUCAUUUAUGACUGACAAUUACAUCGUUUGAAGAAGAAUGACCAAUUAAAAUGAAUGUAUUUAAAUAUUGGUUUAAAAAGAUGCGUGUGUGUUUUUUUGUCAUGAAAUAAAAGUAUGAUCUCAGAGAAAUGUAAUUUAACUUGCCUUUGUAAUAGAAUUAGUAAUGAUUACAUGGAUCUAAAUUUAAUUGGUCCACUGACUUGUUCAAUCUGAUUAAAAUACAGAUCUAUA
Molecule: long non-coding RNA, 1378 nt
Organism: Patella vulgata (common limpet)
Lineage: Eukaryota; Metazoa; Mollusca; Gastropoda; Patellidae
Exons: 4
Source: RefSeq, a predicted model, not a curated record